CCCUUAGAUGUUCUGGGCCGCACGCGUGCUACACUGAGUGGAUCAGCGGGUCAGGUUGCGCGAAAGCGUUUCCUAAUCUUUAAAUCCGCUCGUGAUGGGGAUUGACGGUUGCAAUUUUCUGUCAUGAACGAGGAAUACCUUGUAAGCGCGGGUCAUCAUCCCGCGCUGAAUACGUCCCUGCCCUUUGUACACACCGCCCGUCGCUCCUACCGAUUGAGUGCUCAGGUGAGCCAUUCGGACCUUCAUCAUGCCGGUUUCCGGUUUUGAUGAGGGAAAGUCUUGCGAACCUUAUCAUUUAGAGGAAGGAGAAGUCGUAACA
RNAcentral lists this ribosomal RNA (319 nucleotides) under uncultured eukaryote. RNAcentral's name for it is "partial 18S ribosomal RNA". It matches the Rfam family "Eukaryotic small subunit ribosomal RNA", at positions 1470 to 1796 of the family's 1831-position model. The record is from RNAcentral.